This 406-nucleotide long non-coding RNA is filed under the name Danio rerio (zebrafish). RNAcentral's name for it is "si:ch211-229b6.2 (ENSDARG00000096265.2)". Lineage: Eukaryota; Metazoa; Chordata; Actinopteri; Cypriniformes; Danionidae. The record is from RNAcentral.
UUAUAACAGAAAUGUUUUUUUUCUUCGCGAAACACGAGACUAAGAAGAGCCAAAAUAAACGGACAGGAUGGUUUUAAAGAGUGUAAGAAGACGGAAUAUACACGGACUGACCUGAUCUCUAACAGACAGCCAUAAUCAAGCUAACGUUAAUGUUUGAUUAGCUGAUGCUAACCGGAGACUUUCCUUCAUAUAUUUCUUCGUGUUUUGAUCAACGCAUCAUCAUCGUCUCAGGCUGAUGGAGGACGAGUAAAAAGUUCUUUAUCUACCUCCAUCACUUCAUCAUCUUCAUCAUCCUCACUGGCAAUGUCCACCAAAACAAUUCUCCAUUUUGGCUCCAAAUGAACUGCAGGCGGAACCAUCGAGGAAGAAGAGCUCUGAAGGAGAAGGUCUUCAUCUGUUGCUGAAG